CAGUAGCCGCGGUAAGACAGAGGAUGCAAGCGUUAUCCGGAAUGAUUGGGCGUAAAGCGUCUGUAGGUGGCUUUUUAAGUCGGAUGUGAAAUCCCUGAGCUUAACUUAGGAAUUGCAUUCGAUACUGGGAAGCUAGAGUAUGGGAGAGGAUGGUAGAAUUCCAGGUGUAGCGGUGAAAUGCGUAGAGAUCUGGAGGAAUACCGAUGGCGAAGGCAGCCAUCUGGCCUAAUACUGACGCUGAGGUACGAAAGCAUGGGGAGCAAACAGGAUUAGAUACCCCCGUAGUCCCUGUCUCUUAUAC
This 301-nucleotide ribosomal RNA is filed under the name uncultured bacterium. Its description in RNAcentral is "partial 16S ribosomal RNA". It matches the Rfam family "Bacterial small subunit ribosomal RNA", at positions 509 to 807 of the family's 1533-position model. The record is from RNAcentral.